RNAcentral lists this ribosomal RNA (478 nucleotides) under uncultured bacterium. RNAcentral's name for it is "partial 16S ribosomal RNA". It matches the Rfam family "Bacterial small subunit ribosomal RNA", at positions 28 to 523 of the family's 1533-position model. The record is from RNAcentral.
GACGAACGCUGGCGGCGUGCUUAACACAUGUAAGUCGAACGGUAAGGCCCUUCGGGGUACACGAGUGGCGAACGGGUGAGUAACACGUGGGUGAUCUGCCCUGCACUUCGGGAUAAGCCUGGGAAACUGGGUCUAAUACCGGAUAGGACCAUUGCCUGCAUGGGUGGGGGUGGAAAGCUUUUGCGGUGUGGGAUGGGCCCGCGGCCUAUCAGCUUGUUGGGGGGGUGAUGGCCUACCAAGGCGACGACGGGUAGCCGGCCUGAGAGGGUGACCGGCCACACUGGGACUGAGAUACGGCCCAGACUCCUACGGGAGGCAGCAGUGGGGAAUAUUGCACAAUGGGCGCAAGCCUGAUGCAGCGACGCCGCGUGAGGGAUGACGGCCUUCGGGUUGUAAACCUCUUUCAGCACCGACGAAGCGCAAGUGACGGUAGGUGCAGAAGAAGGACCGGCCAACUACGUGCCAGCCGCCGCCGCGG